GUUUUUUUUUUGUUUUGUUCAUAAUUUUAGGAUGCAAAUGCGGCUCAGAGCCUAAGACUGGCAAUUGUGGUUGCGGUUCGGCCUGCAAAUGCUGUCCCUGUGGAAGUGCUUGCAAAUGCGGCUCAGGAACUCAAAGCGGCAGUUGCGGUUGCGGUUCCAGCUGUAAAUGUGGCCAAUAACAAGCACCAUCAAAUAACAUCUGUGGAAAUGACCGUACCUUAUUAAGUUUAAGCAGUUUUUUAAUUUAUUUUCAUAAAUACAUACAUAUGUACAUACAAACAUACAUACAUGCAUACAUAUGCACAUAUAAGAAAAUUAUUUGAACACUUGUACGUAAUGCAAAAGUAAGUCUAUCGCAUUUCUUUAUCAAAAAACAACAAAACAGAAAUAAAUCCA
Long non-coding RNA from Rhagoletis pomonella (apple maggot), 396 nucleotides. RefSeq lists it as uncharacterized. NCBI's taxonomy places the organism in Eukaryota, Metazoa, Arthropoda, Insecta, Diptera, Tephritidae. The record is from RefSeq and is a predicted model, not a curated record. The transcript is spliced from 2 exons.